This 550-nucleotide ribosomal RNA is filed under the name uncultured beta proteobacterium. Its description in RNAcentral is "bacterial SSU rRNA". It matches the Rfam family "Bacterial small subunit ribosomal RNA", at positions 192 to 723 of the family's 1533-position model. Lineage: Bacteria; Pseudomonadati; Pseudomonadota; Betaproteobacteria. The record is from RNAcentral.
CCCUGAGGGGGAAGNUGGGGGAUCGCAAGACCUCACGUUAUUGGAGCGGCCGAUGGCUGAUUAGCUAGUUGGUAGGGUAAAGGCCUACCAAGGCGACGAUCAGUAGCUGGUCUGAGAGGACGAUCAGCCACACUGGGACUGAGACACGGCCCAGACUCCUACGGGAGGCAGCAGUGGGGAAUUUUGGACAAUGGGGGAAACCCUGAUCCAGCAAUGCCGCGUGUGCGAAGAAGGCCUUCGGGUUGUAAAGCACUUUUGUCAGGGAAGAAAUCCUUUGGGCUAAUACCCUAGGGGGAUGACGGUACCUGAAGAAUAAGCACCGGCUAACUACGUGCCAGCAGCCGCGGUAAUACGUAGGGUGCAAGCGUUAAUCGGAAUUACUGGGCGUAAAGCGUGCGCAGGCGGUUGUGUAAGACAGGUGUGAAAUCCCCGGGCUUAACCUGGGAAUUGCAUUUGUGACUGCACGACUAGAGUGUGUCAGAGGGGGGUGGAAUUCCACGUGUAGCAGUGAAAUGCGUAGAUAUGUGGAGGAACACCAAUGGCGAAGGCA